Molecule: long non-coding RNA, 677 nt
Organism: Salvelinus sp. IW2-2015
Lineage: Eukaryota; Metazoa; Chordata; Actinopteri; Salmoniformes; Salmonidae
Source: RefSeq, a predicted model, not a curated record
GUGUUCUAAUGAUAAAUGCGUUUCUAUCUUCAACGUUCUGAACUUUGCGCCCAGUGACCCUCUUGGCUAACUACGUGCAUUUCGUACUACAAUUAAGGCCGACAACGGCGCAGGAGCACGAUUUGAAGUUUUGUGCAUUAAAUUUAGCUAGUUUUCACAGUCCGAUUAAUUUCCACGAACACUGUGCUUGAUCUCACUCGUUUUUGUGACUGAGUUGUUUCGCUGGUUAUAUCGCUCGACGGUUGAGACGCUGCCGUGUUGUUUUCAUCAAGCUCAAGAACAAUUGACUGCAUCAUCAUUUAUAUUAUUUUUUGGAAUCGUUUUAACUGACUCGAAUGUAUAUUACAACUGUCUCUUGACAUCUAUUCCAUCCACGUGUUUGCUACCUCUGCGUUCUUCUCAUAGAGAUGUAUCGAUUGACGUUUUGUUCCAUUUGAUAGGUGUGUGUGUGUGUGUGUGUGUGUGUGUUAUGGUAACGUCUGGUGUGUGAGGCCUGCGUCAGGAGACCCCACUGCCUUUUUCAGCAUGUCUGAAUCCCAGACCCCAACAUGGCCACGGGGAACCGAGUGUAUGGCCAAGUACAACUUCAAGGGCACCACAGAGCAGGAUUUGCCCUUCAACAAAGGAGAUGUCUUAACUAUCAUCGUUGUCACUAAGGUAAAGUACCUAACUCUCCA